AUUCCAGCUCCAAUAGCGUAUAUUAAUGUUGUUGCAGUUAAAAAGCUCGUAGUUGAAUUUCUGGAAUGAACUUUCGGUCCGAGGCCUUGUGUCUUGCGUACUGUUUCUGUUCAUCCCAUCUUAGUAGUGAGUGUUACUGGCAUUCGGUUGUCGGUUGCAGGAGCUGCUUCGUUUACUGUGAAUAAAAUAGAGUGUUUAAAGCAGGCAUUACGCCUUGAAUACUUCAGCAUGGAAUAAAAUUAUAGGACUUAGGUGCUAUUUUAUUGGUUUGCACACCUAGUAAUGAUUAAUAGGGAUAGUUGGGGGUAUUCAUAUUUGAUUGUCAGAGGUGAAAUUCUUGGAUUUAUGAAAGAUGAACUUAUGCGAAAGCAUUUACCAAGGAUGUUUUCAUUG
This 393-nucleotide ribosomal RNA is filed under the name Stramenopiles sp. MAST-12A. RNAcentral's name for it is "partial small subunit ribosomal RNA". It matches the Rfam family "Eukaryotic small subunit ribosomal RNA", at positions 582 to 975 of the family's 1831-position model. The record is from RNAcentral.